This 318-nucleotide RNase P RNA is filed under the name bovine gut metagenome. Its description in RNAcentral is "Bacterial RNase P class A". It matches the Rfam family "Bacterial RNase P class A". From Rfam's summary of the family: Ribonuclease P (RNase P) is a ubiquitous endoribonuclease, found in archaea, bacteria and eukarya as well as chloroplasts and mitochondria. Its best characterised activity is the generation of mature 5'-ends of tRNAs by cleaving the 5'-leader elements of precursor-tRNAs. The record is from RNAcentral.
GUAAGCUGGGCAAUCGCGUACAUUAGUAUGAGGAAAGUCCGGGCUUCACAGGGCAGGGUGCCUGCUAACGGCAGGUGGAGGCGACUCUAAGGAAAGUGCAACAGAAAAGAAACGCCGAUUUAUCGGUAAGUGUGAAAAUGUGAGGUAAGAGCUCACAGGCGGUAUAGGUAACUAUACGGCGGUGUAAACCCCACCCGAAGCAACUUUGGGAAUGUUAAGGCGGCCCGCCAUUUUCCCUUGCAAGGCUUGAUACCAUCGGUGACGAUUGGUACAGAUAGAUGAUUGUCCACGACAGAACCCGGCUUAUAGGCUUGCUUU